This 69-nucleotide transfer RNA is filed under the name Illex argentinus (Argentinian squid). RNAcentral describes it as "tRNA-Leu". Lineage: Eukaryota; Metazoa; Mollusca; Cephalopoda; Oegopsida; Ommastrephidae. The record is from RNAcentral.
UAUUAAGAAGAACAAUAAUAUAUUCUCUAGUAGGAUCUUAAAUCCUAUGCACUGAUCUGCCACCUUAAU